AAGAGGCAUUUGCAGACACUUGUGACAUCACAGGAGAAGCUAGGGCUCUCCAGGAUACAAGAGAUUUUUCAUGGAGGGCCUAAUGAUGAAUGUCUCUGAGAACUGCCAUGGCCUACCUGUAAACAGCUUUCUUUACAUUGACCAGUUUCAAGAGUGCCUUUCCAGGUCUCCAGUCUUUCCAAUUCUCCUCCAAAUGUGUUGGAGAAGACCCCUGUGGUCGAGGGGAGGUACAACAAGCCCCAUCAAACAAAAUGGUCUCCACAUCUUCUUCUCUUAAAGUCUUGACCUAGAUGCGCAGAAUUCAUGUUAAAAUUCCAGCUAAAAUUAUAGCUGUAGGAGCCAACAAAAGUACAUAUAUAUACAUCAGCCACCGAAACUACACAAGAUUGAUGGAGAUUUUAAAAAAAGAUUACAAGAGCUGAAGGGCUUUAACACUACAAGAACAACAAUGCCAAUGAACCAGAGCUUUCUGAUACUAGAACAAUAUUCAAAGAAUGUACAUGGACAGAGCUAUGGCUCCAACUGCAUAUGUGGAAGAGAAUAGACUUGGUGGGCACCAAUGGAAGGAGAAGUCCUUGGUCCUCCCUAGGUUUGACUCCAAGUUCAAGGACCUUUUCUUCUUGCGAAAAAGUGUAAAGGUCAUGAGUUCUCAGGAAAACAACUGUGCCCUUCACAACACUUGGCUUUUGGAAUAAAGAAAUAAAUGAUAUAAA
Molecule: non-coding RNA, 713 nt
Organism: Rattus norvegicus (Norway rat)
Lineage: Eukaryota; Metazoa; Chordata; Mammalia; Rodentia; Muridae
Source: RefSeq, a predicted model, not a curated record